GAUGAACGCUGGCGGCGUGCCUAAUACAUGCAAGUCGAGCGAACGGACGAGAAGCUUGCUUCUCUGAUGUUAGCGGCGGACGGGUGAGUAACACGUGGAUAACCUACCUAUAAGACUGGGAUAACUUCGGGAAACCGUAGCUAAUACCGGAUAAUAUUUUGAACCGCAUGGUUCAAAAGUGAAAGACGGUCUUGCUGUCACUUAUAGAUGGAUCCGCGCUGCAUUAGCUAGUUGGUAAGGUAACGGCUUACCAAGGCAACGAUGCAUAGCCGACCUGAGAGGGUGAUCGGCCACACUGGAACUGAGACACGGUCCAGACUCCUACGGGAGGCAGCAGUAGGGAAUCUUCCGCAAUGGGCGGAAGCCUGACGGAGCAACGCCGCGUGAGUGAUGAAGGUCUUCGGAUCGUAAAUCUCUGUUAUUAGGGAAGAACAUAUGUGUAAGUAACUGUGCACAUCUUGACGGUACAUAAUCAGAAAGCCACGGCUAACUACGUG
Molecule: ribosomal RNA, 497 nt
Filed under: uncultured bacterium
Lineage: Bacteria
Description: partial 16S ribosomal RNA
Rfam family: Bacterial small subunit ribosomal RNA
Source: RNAcentral